This 29-nucleotide ribosomal RNA is filed under the name Piper decorticans. RNAcentral describes it as "partial 26S ribosomal RNA". The record is from RNAcentral. Lineage: Eukaryota; Viridiplantae; Streptophyta; Magnoliopsida; Piperales; Piperaceae.
CCAAGUCAGGUGGGACUACCCGCAGAGCU